This 815-nucleotide ribosomal RNA is filed under the name uncultured Gemella sp. RNAcentral's name for it is "bacterial SSU rRNA". It matches the Rfam family "Bacterial small subunit ribosomal RNA", at positions 57 to 853 of the family's 1533-position model. The record is from RNAcentral. Lineage: Bacteria; Bacillati; Bacillota; Bacilli; Caryophanales; Gemellaceae.
GCAAGUCGAGCGAAGUUUUCUGGUGCUUGCACUAGAAAAACUUAGCGGCGAACGGGUGAGUAACACGUAAAGAACCUGCCUCAUAGACGGGGACAACUAUUGGAAACGAUAGCUAAUACCGGAUAACAGCAUAAAUCGCAUGAUAUAUGUUUAAAAGUUGGUUUCGGCUAACACUAUGAGAUGGCUUUGCGGUGCAUUAGCUAGUUGGUGGGGUAAAGGCCUACCAAGGCGACGAUGCAUAGCCGACCUGAGAGGGUGAUCGGCCACACUGGGACUGAGACACGGCCCAGACUCCUACGGGAGGCAGCAGUAGGGAAUCUUCCGCAAUGGGCGAAAGCCUGACGGAGCAACGCCGCGUGAGUGAAGAAGGAUUUCGGUUCGUAAAGCUCUGUUGUUAGGGAAGAAUGAUUGUAUAGUAACUAUAUACAGUAGAGACGGUACCUAACCAGAAAGCCACGGCUAACUACGUGCCAGCAGCCGCGGUAAUACGUAGGUGGCAAGCGUUGUCCGGAAUUAUUGGGCGUAAAGCGCGCGCAGGUGGUUUAAUAAGUCUGAUGUGAAAGCCCACGGCUCAACCGUGGAGGGUCAUUGGAAACUGUUAAACUUGAGUGCAGGAGAGAAAAGUGGAAUUCCUAGUGUAGCGGUGAAAUGCGUAGAGAUUAGGAGGAACACCAGUGGCGAAGGCGGCUUUUUGGCCUGUAACUGACACUGAGGCGCGAAAGCGUGGGGAGCAAACAGGAUUAGAUANCCUGGUAGUCCACGCCGUAAACGAUGAGUGCUAAGUGUUGGUCUCAUAAGAGAUCAGCGCUGCAGCU